Macadamia integrifolia is the source of this 425-nucleotide long non-coding RNA. RefSeq lists it as uncharacterized. The record is from RefSeq and is a predicted model, not a curated record. Lineage: Eukaryota; Viridiplantae; Streptophyta; Magnoliopsida; Proteales; Proteaceae. The transcript has 2 exons.
CUCUCGGUCGCCGCUUCCCUGCAACUCUCUUGGUCGCCGCUUCCCUGCAGCAGACAGUUUUAUCAUUGGCAAGGUGCUGCUUCUAUGCAUACCAAAGCUGCGCUCUGUAUGGCUUCGAUGCAGAUCUAUGCUACGCUUUGUGAUCCUUCGGUGCAUAACUAGCCUGCUGUCUAAUACUUUAAUUCAAAUUCAAGGGCGUAUUCAUUACGAAUCAAAAUCAGUAACCAUAGAUUUGCGAUCCAAGUGUUGGACUGUGGAGCUUUGGACGUGGAUAUGGAUAAUUUUUAUUUUUCUUUUGUUUCAUUAUUUUCUUAAUCAUGAUUUUGUUACGUUUUGUUCUCCGGAAAGAUGCGCACAAUUUUGUUUUGUGGCGAAAAGAUACCCAAGUGUGGGGAUGUGGAGCAGUAAAGAAGAUACUAUUUUCA